This 160-nucleotide ribosomal RNA is filed under the name uncultured bacterium. RNAcentral's name for it is "partial 16S ribosomal RNA". It matches the Rfam family "Bacterial small subunit ribosomal RNA", at positions 332 to 508 of the family's 1533-position model. The record is from RNAcentral.
CAGACUCCGUACGGGAGGCAGCAGUGGGGAAUAUUGCACAAUGGAGGAAACUCUGAUGCAGCGACGCCGCGUGAGUGAAGAAGUAAUUCGUUAUGUAAAGCUCUAUCAGCAGGGAAGAUAGUGACGGUACCUGACUAAGAAGCUCCGGCUAAAUACGUGC